This is a long non-coding RNA of Zea mays, 1388 nucleotides long. RefSeq lists it as uncharacterized. NCBI's taxonomy places the organism in Eukaryota, Viridiplantae, Streptophyta, Magnoliopsida, Poales, Poaceae. The record is from RefSeq and is a predicted model, not a curated record. The transcript is spliced from 11 exons.
AAAUUUAUGUAUUUUAAUUAUAUAUUUUGUACUUCUUCGGUACUAGGCCUAUUUUUCUUUUUCUUGCAAAGAGUUUGAUGAGAAUAUACUGAGGAAAGUGUUUGAACUAUACUAUGAAAAUGGGUUAUUGGAUCUAUCAUAUGCUCCAGAUGUUGGUGACUAUUUAGUCUGCGAGGAUACAAGUUUUGUACCAGGCAACAAAGAUCAGGCUCCUAUACCUGAGUGCAUGAUGGGAACUGAAGUAGAGAAGAGACUAAAUGGACAGGGUCUUGCACUAUUUAUUGGAUGCUAUAAUGGCACAAGGUGCUGUCGAGCCUGCUCUGAAUGGUGACUCUUUGUUUGGACCGGUUGUUCCGAGGAUGAAGAGGAAGACACCAUCUGAACUGAGAAUGGCCAAUGUUGUUCCUGGUCUAUGUGUUGCAAGGAAUGUUGCUUGCAAUGUUCGUGGUGGGGUUUUCAGAGUUUGAUGAGAAUCUACUGAGGAAAGUGUUUGAACUAUACUAUGAAAAUGGGUUAUUGGAUCUAUCAUAUGCUCCAGAUGUUGGUGACUAUUUAGUUUGCGAGGAUACCAGUUUUGUACCAGGCAACAAAGAUCAGGCUCCUAUACCUGAGGGCAUGAUGGGAACUGAAGUAGAGAAGAGACUAAAUGGACAAGUGAAUUUUUAUAUCUUCGUGUUACUUGGAUCUAACAAGAGUAUGCAGGCAAAAAUGCCCUAUUCCUUGGAAUAUAUUAGCCAACGCCGUUUAAAUUACAACAUAUGGUUCAUGCAGUCUGCUUUUAGCCAUUUAUAACUAUAUGCCUUUUUACUACAUUGCUCUUCUUGAGAAUGGAUCUGCACUGUAUGAAGUUUAGAGACCAAUGCUUAUGAUUAAUCUCUUAAUGUUCGAAAUAAACUUCAAGAAUAUGAGUGAUCAAUUAUUUUUCUUACCAGUCAUAUCGGUGGGAGCAAAGGGAAAGCCAACAAAUGUCAUCCUCAAACCGUUCACCAGAUACCUCUCAAUUUCAUAAAUUUGGUGCCUGUAGUUGAUGGAUACUCUUAUCCACAUCUGACAUAGAGCAUGAAUGUAGCUGGAAGGCAUAUAACAUCUUAUCUUGUUGACCUACUCUCAAGGAAAGGGUAUGCCAUGAAUAAAUCUGCUGAUUUUGAGACUGUCAGAGAAAUAAAAGAGAAACUGUUCUAUAUAAGCUAGGACUUGAGACCACAAUCCAUGUGAAAAGUUACACUCUUCCAGAUGGAAGAGUUAUUAAAGUAGGCUCCUGAAGCUCUUUUCACUCAUAAAGAAGCAACUCAUGAAACCUACCAAGAAUGAGACGAUUAAGUUAAGAGCGUAUAGAGGUACAUAUUUACUAUUUGAAGGCUAUAAUUGCAAAAGAGAAAGAGUGUUGU